This 400-nucleotide ribosomal RNA is filed under the name uncultured Gammaproteobacteria bacterium. Its description in RNAcentral is "bacterial SSU rRNA". It matches the Rfam family "Bacterial small subunit ribosomal RNA", at positions 30 to 430 of the family's 1533-position model. The record is from RNAcentral. Lineage: Bacteria; Pseudomonadati; Pseudomonadota; Gammaproteobacteria.
AUUGAACGCUGGCGGUAGGCUUAACACAUGCAAGUCGUGCGAGAAAGUAUCUUCGGAUAUGAGUAGAGCGGCGGACGGGUGAGUAACGCGUAGGAAUCUACCUAGUAGAAGGGGAUAGCCCGGGGAAACUCGGAUUAAUACCGUAUACCUCCUUCGGGAGAAAGAAGGCCUCUCUUUGAAGCUUUCGCUAUUAGAUGAGCCUGCGUAAGAUUAGCUUGUUGGUGAGGUAAAGGCUCACCAAGGCGACGAUCUUUAGCGGGUCUGAGAGGACGAUCCGCCACAUUGGGACUGAGACACGGCCCAGACUCCUACGGGAGGCAGCAGUGGGGAAUAUUGGACAAUGGGCGCAAGCCUGAUCCAGCCAUACCGCGUGUGUGAAGAAGGCCCUAGGGUUGUAAAG